RNAcentral lists this long non-coding RNA (914 nucleotides) under Podarcis muralis (Common wall lizard). RNAcentral describes it as "lncRNA (ENSPMRG00000002447.1)". The record is from RNAcentral. Lineage: Eukaryota; Metazoa; Chordata; Lepidosauria; Squamata; Lacertidae.
UGAGUUAUCGCCGCUGCACACAGAGGAGGGAGAUUUUCACAAAGGGUGACGUGGAGGCAACUGACCAGUCUGCAAAGAGACAUCUCCUCGUGUGCUGGAUUCUAUCCAUCUUGUUCCAUCACUUUUUGGAAUCUGCUUCUUGUGCUUCCCAUCAAUUUCUCCCUUAACAUGUGAAGCAUCUUUCUCUGCUAUUUUUGGACUUCCUUGGAGAGCUGUCGCUGCCUGCAUGAAGCGCCGUGCAUCCUCUGGCUUUUAUAGGUUGUGGUACAGUGCACAGAGUGGUGGGCUUCUAAGAAUGCAUCAGGUUUUCCACUUGUUGAGCUGGAUUUUGGUACUGCUGAAAGAAAGCCCUUGGGUUGCUGUGGAAAGUUACUGUAUUUCCGUUUUGAGGCUUUGGAUUAGGAUGAGACGAUCAGCUGGCUCAAGACUAGGAACCGGGCCUGAUUGCCAAGAAGUGAAGAAUUAGGGGCUGGAUCAUCUUCGGUACACAAUGAAGAUUGACUUUGGCUUUUCUGUCCAAGGCGUCCCAUGUUUGAUGAGUUCACUAUCUGCCAUGCUUUGCUGCCAUCCCCAUUGCUUCUAAGAAACCACAGUUUGGAGACAGGCCAUUGACUCUCCCUCCAUCCUUCACUGAAGACAGCUGGGGUCAGCAACGCAAGGCCACAGCAGGAAACCUCAACCUUUGAAAACAAAACCCACCCGCCUUCUGAAUCCCUCGCACCAUUUCCUCUCCUUCUAGGAUAAAGGCCUCUGGAUCCUAAGGGAUAGCUGAGAUCUUUCCUUGGCAAGGAGAACUUGCCUCUCCAGUCAAGUCUUUCCUCUCUUGUGGAGUUAAACGGCUGUAGUGCCUAUUACCAGAGCCAUCCUCUCUGGUGUGAGUGGCUUUAAUUUUGUUUUUCUCGUAAGGGAGAAGA